This 1272-nucleotide long non-coding RNA is filed under the name Canis lupus familiaris (dog). RNAcentral describes it as "lncRNA (ENSCAFG00040025795.1)". Lineage: Eukaryota; Metazoa; Chordata; Mammalia; Carnivora; Canidae. The record is from RNAcentral.
AUGCUUUUUAAGGCCAUUUUUCACAAGUUCAAAAGAAGACAACAGAGGUGGGGGUGGGGGGGCUUGCUAAGUCCCUCGCGAGGCCCUUCCCCUUCUGGGAGGGGCGCCCGGUUCCGCAGCCCGGCCACGGAGUCGGCUCUGGGCCCACGACCCCGCGGGCGCACCGCGGCUGCAGGGGGCCCGGAGCGGCGGCCCAGGGCGGGGACGCGGGCACGCGCGGGAGCUCUAGCCGCGGGCCGCAGCUUGGGUCGCCCCCCGCCGGCUCUGAAGUCCCCCACAGCGACGGCCACGAGCCCGAACCUGCACUUGGACCGGGUGUUAACGGUUUGCGCGCAGCCCCGGGUCGCCCCGGCUGGAAGUGCGAGCCCCGAGCCCCGAGCCCCGAGCCCGCCCGUCCGCGACCCCCUCGCGCGGGCCCCAGAGCUCCGGGAACGGGGGGGUCCCCGGCGCGCCCAGGCCGCCCCCAGGCCCUGCGGGCACAGCGGCCGAGCCCGAGCUGGGCCCCCGGCCUCCACUCACCGCUCCGGAGCCGCCCCGCGCCGCGCGCCUCGCUCCGCCCGCCCCGAGCGCCUCCGGGCCGCAGACACGCUUCCGGCCCCGCCUGCAGGUGAGCUGGGCGCGCGCCCGAGGGGUCCGGCCCGCCUCCCUCCCUCCCUCCGCGGCCCGAGGUGUGCGAGCCCCGAGGCCGGGCCGGUCUCCGAGGGCGGGGAGGGCGGGAGGGCGGGAGGCAGGGAGGCCUCGGCCGGCUGGGGGCGCGCGCGGCUCGGGCUCUCCCCGGCCGGGGCCCCGCGGCUCCGCGCGCUUCUCUCGGGCUUUGCCGACGGGGAGCGUCCGCCCGGCCCGAGCGCGGAGGGUCGCCCGUCGCCCGCGGACCGAGUGGGCUCCGAGGAGUGCGCGGCCGCCCCUCCGUCCUCGCCUUGCCCCGUGCUGGGUCCUCGGCCCUCCGCGUCCGAGGCGCUGGCGUCGCCGCUUGGUGGCAACAGAGGAGAAGUGACAAAGCCCCUGUCGUCCAGAGCGCGAACUCGGAGUCCGCGCGCGACUGGCCCCGCGCCCCUCCUCCCCGGACCCGCGCCUCCUCAUCCUCCCCGGACCCGCGUCCCCUCCUCCCGGGACCCCGGUCCCCCUCCUCCCCGGGCCCCGCUCUCCCCCUCCUCCCCGGGUCCCGCUCCCCCUCCUCCUCCCCGGGCCCCCUCCUCCCAGGGUCCCGCGUCCCCUCCUCCCCGGGUCCCGCUCCCCCUCCUCCUCCCCGGGCCCCCUCCUCCCCGGGCCCCG